CCCAAAAAGGUCCCCCAUCGUUGUCCCCAUCGUCGACCCCAAUGUCCCCCAUCGUUGUCCCCAUUAUUGUCCCAAAUGUCCCCCAAAAUGGGACCCCAUUAUUGUCCCCAUCGUCGACCCCAAUGUCCCCCAUCGUUGUCCCCAUUAUUGUCCCCAACAUCCCCCAAAAUGGGACCCCAAAAAGGUCCCCCAUCCUUGUCCCCAUUGUUGUCCCCAAAGUCCGCCAUCGUUGUCCCCAUUAUUGUCCCCAACGUCCCCCCAAAAUGGGACCCCAUCAUUGUCCCCAUCGUUGACCCCAAUGUCCCCCAUCAUUGUCCCCAUUAUUGUCCCAAAUGUCCCCCAAAAUGGGACCCCAAAAAGGUCCCCCAUCAUUGUCCCCAAUGUUCCCCAAAAGGAUCCUCCAUCGUUGUCCCCAUUGUUGUCCCCAAUUGUCGCCAUGGGAAACGACCCCAAACUGGGGGGAAGUGGCCCCAAAAUGGAGGGGAAAUGACCCCAAAAUUGGGGGAAAUGGCCCUAAAUGGACGGGAAAUGACCCCAAAAUUGGGGGAAAUGGCCCCAAAUUGGGAGGAAGUGACCCCAAAAUUGGGGGAAAUGGCCCUGAAUGGAGGGGAAAUGACCCCAAAAUUGGAGGAAAUGGCCCUGAAAGGAGGGGAAAUGACCCCAAAAUUGGGGGAAAUGACCCCAAAUUGGGAGGAAAUGACCCCAAAAUUGGGGGAAAUGGCCCCAAAAUGGAGGGGAAAUGACCCCAAAAUUGGGGGAAAUGGCCCUGAAAGGAGGGGAAAUGACCCCAAACUGGGGGGGAAGUGACGCCAAAAUUGGGGGAAAUGGCCCUAAAUGGAGGGGAAAUGACCCCAAAAUUGGGGGAAAUGUCCCCAAAUGGAGGGGAAAUGACCCCAAAAUUGGGGAAAUGGUCCCAAAUUGGGAGGAAGUGACCCCAAAAUUGGGGGAAAUGGCCCCAAAACUGGGAGGAAGUGACCCUAAAAUUGGGGGAAAUGGCCCUGAAUGGAGGGGAAAUGACCCCAAAAUUGGAGGAAAUGGCCCUGAAAGGAGGGGAAAUGACCCCAAAAUUGGGGGAAAUGACCCCAAAUUGGGAGGAAAUGACCCCAAAAUUGGGGGAAAUGGCCCCAAAAUGGAGGGGAAAUGACCCCAAACUGGGGGGAAAUGGCCCUAAAAGGAGGGGAAAUGACCCCAAAUGGGAGGGGAAGUGACCCCAAAAUUGGGGGAAAUGUCCCAGAUGGGAGGGGAAAUGACCCCAAAAUAGGGGGAAGUGGCCCUGAAAGGAGGGGAAGUGACCCCAAAAUUGUGGGAAACGGCCCCAAAUGGGAGGGGAAGUGACCCCAAAAUUGGCGGAAAUGGUCCCAAAUUCGGAGGAAGUGGCCCCAAAAUUGGGGGAAAUGGCCCCAAAUGGAGGGGAAAUGACCCCAAAAUAGGGGGAAAUGGCCCUAAAAGGAGGGGAAAUGACCCCAAAUGGGAGGGGAAGUGACCCCAAAAUUGGGGGAAAUGGCCCCAAAAUUGGGGGAAAUGGCCCUAAAUGGAGGGGAAAUGACCCCAAACUGGGGGGAAAUGGCCCUAAAUGGACGGGAAAUGG
Molecule: long non-coding RNA, 1588 nt
Filed under: Phasianus colchicus (ring-necked pheasant)
Lineage: Eukaryota; Metazoa; Chordata; Aves; Galliformes; Phasianidae
Description: lncRNA (ENSPCLG00000013524.1)
Source: RNAcentral